This is a non-coding RNA of Vicugna pacos (alpaca), 969 nucleotides long. The record is from RefSeq and is a predicted model, not a curated record. NCBI's taxonomy places the organism in Eukaryota, Metazoa, Chordata, Mammalia, Artiodactyla, Camelidae.
GGCUGAGAAUGAAAUUGACAUGAAACAGAUAAACAGGAGAAAAUGAAACAAAAGUCGAAUACAUGUGUCCAUGGGAGAGACCCAGGAAAACUGAGUAACUCACCAAAAUGUUAGCUGAAGCCCUCUCCUUAAACACCAUCUCCAGCUGAAGACAAAAGAGAACGUUGGAGAUGACAUGCUUUGUGGCUCAGAGAUCCCAGGAACAGGGUAAAGAUGCGGCUUCUGAAAUUCGACCCAGCCUGUUUCCUGUGGGUGGGCGGAUGGCCUGUUCCACAUGAUGCGCUGCUUGAAAGAACUGCUAUGAAUUACCGCAUUCUGCUUCGCAUCUAUAAAUUCACACAGGAAAAAAAUGAAGCGUAGAGCGCUCAGAACAGUGACCUGUUUGCCCUGCCUUGCCAGCUAGUGACAGCAUCUUACUCACUGGACACUUAUUAUUCAUCACCAGAGCCGGAGAGUGUGCAGUCUGACAUCUAUCACUCGGUGUCUGUGCUGCAAGCAGCUAGGAGCGUCUUCUGGAAACACAGCCUGUGGGUUUGAUUCUGGCUCACCCUGUGCUGGGGAACUUUCCUUCCUUGGCUGUAGACGAUCUAGAUGUAAACCAGUAGCGUGCUCCUGUGACAUAGCCAGCCUCCUGACACUUGAGUCUCACCACCUCCCUCCCAUUGCUCAAAACUGCCACCACUUAGAGCCACUUCAUCCAGCUAACCCCUACUCAUUUUAUAGGGCUCAGCUUAGGCACCAUUUUCUCCAUGAAGCCUUUCCGGAUGCCCCAGUGAGGAGAGGUGACCUGUCACAUGCUCCCGUGGAGGAGAACACGGGGUUCACGUUCCGUAUGAUGUCCCCAGCACCCACCGUUCCUGCUGGGUAAUCUCUGUAAGUGCAGGAGUUGGUUGGUCUUGUUUUCUGGGACAUCUUGGCGGAGAGUAGAUAUUUACUGAAUGUUGGUUAAAUGAUGAAAUAAAGUUUGCU